Molecule: ribosomal RNA, 423 nt
Filed under: uncultured archaeon
Lineage: Archaea
Description: partial 16S ribosomal RNA
Rfam family: Archaeal small subunit ribosomal RNA
Source: RNAcentral
CUACGGGAGGCUGCAGUCGCGAAUCAUUUACAAUGCACGAAAGUGUGAUAAUGCGAGCCAAAGUGUUUUUCGUAUAGAAAAACUUUUUCUUACUGUAAAAAUGUAGGAGAAUAAGGACUGGGAAAGACCGGUGCCAGCCGCCGCGGUAAUACCGGCAGUUCAAGUCGCAUCCCUUUUUAUUGGGUCUAAAACAUCCGUAGCUUGUUUAUUAAGUCUCUUGUGAAAUCCCACGUCUCAAGCGUGGGGCUUGCAGGGGAUACUGGUAGACUAGAGAUCGGUAGACGUAAGGAGUACGCCGGAGGUAGUGGUAAAAUACGUUAAUCUUCGGUGGACUAACAAUCAGCGAAGGCACCUUACGAGGACGAAUCUGACAGUGAGGGAUGAAGGCCAGGGGCGCAAAACGGAUUAGAUACCCCCGUAGUC